Molecule: ribosomal RNA, 280 nt
Filed under: uncultured bacterium
Lineage: Bacteria
Description: partial 16S ribosomal RNA
Rfam family: Bacterial small subunit ribosomal RNA
Source: RNAcentral
UCUUGCUAAGGCCGAUGGCGACCGGCGCACGGGUGAGUAACACGUAUCCAACCUGCCGAUAACUCGGGGAUAGCCUUUCGAAAGAAAGAUUAAUACCCGAUGGCAUAAUAGAACCGUAUGGUUUGAUUAUUAAAGAAUUUCGGUUAUCGAUGGGGAUGCGUUCCAUUAGGCAGUUGGUGGGGUAAUGGCCCACCAAACCUUCGAUGGAUAGGGGUUCUGAGAGGAAGGUCCCCCACAUUGGAACUGAGACACGGUCCAAACUCCUACGGGAGGCAGCAUG